AGGACGAACGCUGGCGGCGUGCUUAACACAUGCAAGUCGUGGGGGGGGAGUGGGCAACCACAACCUCACCGGCGAACGGGUGCGUAACACGUGAGCAACCUACCGAUUUCUGGGGGAUAGCCGGCCCAACGGCCGGGUAAUACCGCAUACGCUCUUUGAGGGGAGUCCCUUAGAGAGGAAACCUCCGGGGGAAAUCGAGGGGCUCGCGGCCUAUCAGCUUGUUGGCGAGGUAAUGGCUCACCAAGGCUAUGACGGGUAGC
RNAcentral lists this ribosomal RNA (260 nucleotides) under uncultured soil bacterium. RNAcentral's name for it is "partial 16S ribosomal RNA". It matches the Rfam family "Bacterial small subunit ribosomal RNA", at positions 26 to 287 of the family's 1533-position model. The record is from RNAcentral.